Molecule: ribosomal RNA, 514 nt
Filed under: uncultured bacterium
Lineage: Bacteria
Description: partial 16S ribosomal RNA
Rfam family: Bacterial small subunit ribosomal RNA
Source: RNAcentral
GACGAACGCUGGCGGCAUGCCUAAUACAUGCAAGUCGAGCGGACAGAAGGGAGCUUGCUCCCGAAAGUCAGCGGCGGACGGGUGAGUAACACGUGGGCAAUCUGCCCCUUAGAUUGGAAUAACUUCGGGAAACCGAAGCUAAUACCGAAUAAUACAAGGAACCUCCUGGUUCUCUGUUGAAAGAUGGCCUUUGUGCUGUCACCACGGGAUGGGCCCGCGGCGCAUUAGCUAGUUGGUAAGGUAACGGCUUACCAAGGCGACGAUGCGUAGACGACCUGAGAGGGUGAUCGGCCACACUGGGACUGAGACACGGCCCGGACUCCUACGGGAGGCAGCAGUAGGGAAUCUUCCGCAAUGGACGAAAGUCUGACGGAGCAAUGCCGCGUGAGUGAGGAAGGCCUUCGGGUCGUAAAGCUCUGUUGUGAGGGAAGAACAAGUACCGGCGUAACUACCGGUACCGUGACGGUACCUCACCAGAAAGCCACGGCUAACUACGUGCCAGCCGCCGCGGUAA